This 546-nucleotide ribosomal RNA is filed under the name Xanthoparmelia atticoides. RNAcentral describes it as "SSU rRNA". It matches the Rfam family "Bacterial small subunit ribosomal RNA", at positions 356 to 929 of the family's 1533-position model. Lineage: Eukaryota; Fungi; Ascomycota; Lecanoromycetes; Lecanorales; Parmeliaceae. The record is from RNAcentral.
GAGGAAUGUAUGGCAAUAGCUAGUUGCAUCAUAGUAGAUAUGAUGCAAGAUCGACUAUGUUGAANAAAAUUCUAGGUAGAAUUAUGAUAAUGACAUUGUCUGCCUAUGUGUCUUGACCAAAUUACGUGCCAGCAGUCGCGGUAAUACGUAGAAGACUAGUGUUAUUCAUGAUUAAUCGGUUUAAAGGGUACCUAGACGGUAGAUCAAGCUUUCUAAUAAAGGAAAAGGACUAGUUUNCUAGAGUUACUUAUGAGGGGGUAUUAAAGUACUGCUGGUGUAGAGAUGAAAUUCUGUCAUACCUCUUUUCAAAAGAAAAACCAUGGCACAGGUAUAGGCGAAGGCAUCCCCUUAUGUGAUAACUGACGUUGAGGGACGAAGGCUUUGUGUANCGAACAGGAUUAGAUACCCCAGUAGUCGAAGCAGAAAAUGAUGAAUGUCAUAGAUUANAUAUAUAAGUUUAUUCUAUAAAUGAAAGUGUAAGCAUUCCACCUCAUGAGUAAUUUGGCANCAUUGGAACUGAAAUCAUUAGACCGUUUCUGAAACCAG